GAAACAGAUUUAUAUAUUUUACUUAACCAAUAAUAGAUUAAAUUAACAGAAAAUAAAUACUGGUACUCAUCUUGUUUUUUGCUGUAUAAUUCUUGUCUUACAGCUAAAUCUGAACUCCCUCUGCUGCUGUUCUUCGGCGUGUUUUCGGGGGUGUGUGUGCUUGUAAUUUGUGUUCAGGCCAUUAUGAUUUGUAAAAUGAGAAAAUCUGGAGACAAACUUCAGGAGGGUGCUGUUAAUGAGAGAGCUCCAAACCAGAACCAUAAAGAUGAUGAAGUGAAUUACGCUCCAAUACGAAUUAUUGACAAGAAAACCCCCAGAGUGAAGAAGGAGAAGCCUGAAGAACUGGUUUACUCUCAAGUCUCCCAUGCAGCCGCUCAUCGCUCACGACGCUAGAAACUAAAGUUCUGAGGCUUUAUUUUUAUAUGAGAACCAUCUGAGAUUUUUAAUUCUGUGUUUUAUGCUUCAGUGUAGCAGUGUGGGGUCAGUAUUGAUUUUUUUGUACCUGUAACUGUUUUUAAUGCUGGAUUUUA
This is a long non-coding RNA of Astyanax mexicanus (Mexican tetra), 530 nucleotides long. RefSeq lists it as uncharacterized. NCBI's taxonomy places the organism in Eukaryota, Metazoa, Chordata, Actinopteri, Characiformes, Acestrorhamphidae. The transcript has 3 exons. The record is from RefSeq and is a predicted model, not a curated record.